This 429-nucleotide ribosomal RNA is filed under the name Triticum aestivum (bread wheat). RNAcentral's name for it is "partial small subunit ribosomal RNA". The record is from RNAcentral. Lineage: Eukaryota; Viridiplantae; Streptophyta; Magnoliopsida; Poales; Poaceae.
AUGGAUGAUAAGAGUUUGUUGGCUGCUUGUGUUAAUCUUGAGGAUGCACUUAAGAGUGGAGAACACAAAGACAUUGAUGGAGCUGAAUUGUUUUACGAGUUAAUUUUCAUCCAGGAUUUAGUUAAGAAAUUUAUGGGCCCCGUUGAUAUUCUUGAGAUUCUGAUGAAGCGCCCCUUCUAUCCUAAUGCUAUUAUUGCGUACAGGAUUUUGUUAACCAUUCCUGUAACCGUUGCAACUGCGGAAAGGAGCUUCUCUAAUCUCAAGUUGUUGAAAUCAUAUUUGCGUUCAACUAUGACACAAGAAAGACUCAAUGGUUUGGCGACAAUAGCGCUGGAAAAUGAUGUCUUGGAGAAGAUUAAUUAUGAAGAUGUAAUUGUAGAUUUCAUUUCCAGGAACACAAGACGGAUGGCACUUUUCAAUAGAGAAUGA